Long non-coding RNA from Glycine soja, 947 nucleotides. RefSeq lists it as uncharacterized. The transcript has 4 exons. NCBI's taxonomy places the organism in Eukaryota, Viridiplantae, Streptophyta, Magnoliopsida, Fabales, Fabaceae. The record is from RefSeq and is a predicted model, not a curated record.
GGAACAUCAUUUUACAUUUCAGGUAUUGCGCGGAAUAAUCCAGAAAAUAAAGUUGAAAACUGGGAUAAAAUAAAGUUGGUGUGAUUGAAGGUUUUAAGAUUUAUCACGAGCAAAUUGCCACUGAGCCUUUCAGUUCUAAAUUUACAAUUUUUUUUACCUUUUUCAAUUAGUUAAAUCAGUGUUUUUACCAGGUGGAGUAUAGGUGUGAUAGCAUAUAUUUUAUUAUGUGGCAGUCGUCCAUUUUGGGGCCGAACAGAGUCUGGUAUUUUUAGGGCAGUUUUGAAAGUUGAUCCAAGCUUUGACCAAACACUGUGGCCAUCUUUGUCUUUUGAAGCUAAAGAUUUUGUCAAACGCAUAUUGAAUAAGGAUCCACUGAAGCGAUUAUUUGCUGCUCAGGCUCUAUGUCAUCCUUGGAUACGAAAUUGCAACAAUGUAAAAGUUCCACUUGAUAUUUUAAUAUUUAAGCUCAUGAAGACAUAUAUGAGAUCUUCAUCCUUACGCAAGGCUGCCUUGAGGAGAUCCCUUAAUUUGAAGAAUUUUGUGUAGCUGCAUUGAGUGUGCAUCAACUUGAAGCUCUUGAUCGUUGGGAACAACAUACCCGUUGUGCAUAUGAACUCUUUGAUAAAGACGGAAACAGGGCUAUUGUCAUUGAACAAAUUGCUUCAGAACUUGGACUUGGUCCCUCUAUCCUUGUUCAUGUCGUUCUUCAUGAUUGGAUAUGCCAUACUGAUGGCAAGUUAAGUUUUCUUGGGCUUGUCAAAUUUAAAGCAAAAGCCCUAUGGAUAUGCUAAAUUUUCUCUGCCUUGUGUGGCUCGACCAUAGUUGAAUUUGUAUCUAGUGUGUGCUGGAACUAAUUAUUGUUGUCUUGUUGCUAUCUGAAGCUCUUGCUAGCACACACCCAUUUAAAGUACAUGUUCAUAAUGAAAUGAAACUCGGAUUCUUUUGAA